RNAcentral lists this ribosomal RNA (468 nucleotides) under uncultured bacterium. Its description in RNAcentral is "partial 16S ribosomal RNA". It matches the Rfam family "Bacterial small subunit ribosomal RNA", at positions 28 to 507 of the family's 1533-position model. The record is from RNAcentral.
GACGAACGCUGGCGGCGUGCUUAACACAUGCAAGUCGAACGGAAAGGCCCUGCUUUUGUGGGGUGCUCGAGUGGCGAACGGGUGAGUAACACGUGAGUAACCUGCCCUUGACUUUGGGAUAACUUCAGGAAACUGGGGCUAAUACCGGAUAGGAGCUCCUGCUGCAUGGUGGGGGUUGGAAAGUUUCGGCGGUUGGGGAUGGACUCGCGGCUUAUCAGCUUGUUGGUGGGGUAGUGGCUUACCAAGGCUGUGACGGGUAGCCGGCCUGAGAGGGUGACCGGCCACAUUGGGACUGAGAUACGGCCCAGACUCCUACGGGAGGCAGCAGUGGGGAAUAUUGCACAAUGGGCGGAAGCCUGAUGCAGCGACGCCGCGUGCGGGAUGACGGCCUUCGGGUUGUAAACCGCUUUCGCCUGUGACGAAGCGUGAGUGACGGUAAUGGGUGAAGAAGCACCGGCUAACUACGUG